GAUGAACGCUGGCGGCGUGCCUAAUACAUGCAAGUCGAGCGAACAGACGAGGAGCUUGCUCCUCUGACGUUAGCGGCGGACGGGUGAGUAACACGUGGAUAACCUACCUAUAAGACUGGGAUAACUUCGGGAAACCGGAGCUAAUACCGGAUAAUAUAUUGAACCGCAUGGUUCAAUAGUGAAAGACGGUUUUGCUGUCACUUAUAGAUGGAUCCGCGCCGCAUUAGCUAGUUGGUAAGGUAACGGCUUACCAAGGCAACGAUGCGUAGCCGACCUGAGAGAGUGAUCGGCCACACUGAAACUGAGACACGGCCCAGACUCCUACGGGAGGCAGCAGUAGGGAAUCUUCCGCAAUGGGCGAAAGCCUGACGGAGCAACGCCGCGUGAGUGAUGAAGGUCUUCGGAUCGUAAAACUCUGUUAUUAGGGAAGAACAAAUGUGUAAGUAACGAUGCACGUCUUGACGGUACCUAAUCAGAAAGCCACGGCUAACUACGU
Molecule: ribosomal RNA, 496 nt
Filed under: uncultured bacterium
Lineage: Bacteria
Description: partial 16S ribosomal RNA
Rfam family: Bacterial small subunit ribosomal RNA
Source: RNAcentral